Molecule: unclassified non-coding RNA, 239 nt
Filed under: Hevea brasiliensis (rubber tree)
Lineage: Eukaryota; Viridiplantae; Streptophyta; Magnoliopsida; Malpighiales; Euphorbiaceae
Source: RNAcentral
GAUGUUUCAUCUCUACAUGGGGUAAUUCAAAUCCGAUGUGUGUUGCCACAUGCUUUGACAAAACAUUGAACUUUGGUGCUAAAGCCUUUGCUGCUGGCCCGCCAUCAGACCCAAAUUCACUGAACUCUUGAUAAGCGGAGAGAACAAAGACGGAUACGAAGAGAAGUCUUCCAACGAAUGACAUGGUCGCCAUUACAAUGCAAAUGGGGAUUCAAAUUUCUCUCUAUAAAAGAGAAAAC